CCAUCCUUGAACACAGGCGGUGGCCAACAACAUCAACAGUCUGCCACCUACAGUACAGUUUUGAGAUCCUGUCCCAGGCACCUUAACAUCCACUCAAAUCUUGCAUCACUUGAUCGCAUGGCAAGGUAGUUUCACAUGAAACCUUGGCUCAUGUGAUAAGGCACAUGAUCAAUAGUGCCAGGUUUUUAAUCCUAGUAGGAGGACUUACUUACAACCAGUGCAUCCCUGGUUAUGGCUAAAAACAGGAGAAGAGACGUGUUGAUAUAAAUAUUAGAUUGAAAAAAAUUUACCUAUCCUAGCUGUCAUGAAAAACAAGAAAGUGGAUGGAUGGAAAAAUGGCAUUCUGGCAUCAUCUGGACUCUUCCAUCUCAGCUGAUCAUUGAACAGCAGGCAGGUUUUUGUAUGAGUGUUUCUCACUGUGGAAGGAGGCUAUGAUUACGACAUCUUCGGCUCUGGAACUAAACUGUAUGUAACAGAUGAGCAGGUAGUGAAGCCCGUGGUGAGCGUGUACCCAGCAGCAUCCAGAGCCCACCUGGAGGGGAACAGCUCCCUGCUGUGUGUGGCCUCAGCCAUGUUUCCUCCUCUGGUCCAGUUCUCCUGGAAAAGACAGAAGAAGAACGGCGGAGAAGCGGAGGAGCUGCCCCCUGCUGAGGGAGAGCAGCUGGAGCUCAGAGAGGCGGGACGCACCAUUGCCAUCAGGAUGGUUGAUGGGAGCCAUUCUGACACAUAUAAAUACAGCUGCUGGGUGAAGCACGAGGGGGGCACAGUGGAGGCCCAAACACAACAAGAUUAUCUUCCUUCUCUUCCUUCUAUACACGAGGUGAAGCUGCUCUGCCUGCUGUACACAGUGCUGAUAGUGAAGAGUCUGGUGUACUGCUGUGGACUCUCUCUGCUGAUGAUGCUCACAAACAAGGGAGCGUCCACCAACUGCACACAUGCUGACUGCUUUCUGAUUGGCAUCUUUCACACUCAGAUUUCCCCACAUGAGCAGGCAGACAUAUAAAUUAAGUUGUGGCUGCUAAAAUCCAUCCAUCUUCUUCCUCCUAUUCGGGGCCGAGUCGCAGGGGCAGCAGCUUAAGCAGAGAAGCCCAGACCUCCCUCUCUCCAGUCACCUCCUCCAGCUUGUCCGGAGGAACACCAAGGCGUUCCCAGGCCAGCCGAAAGAGAUAAUCUCUCCAACGUAUCCUGGGUCAUGCCCCGGGACCACCUCCCGCUGGGACAUGCCUGGUGGUUUGGAGAAAUGUUUAUCAUUUAUACCCUUCUUAAAUAUAACCACCUGAAAGUAUAAAAUAGAUAUGCAAAUAUUAAAACAGUCGUUUUUUUAAAGUGUAAAUGUUUCAUAUGGAGUCUUCUUUCUUUUGUAUAAGGUUUUGUUUUUUUUCUCAGUCAGGUAUGCAAACUAUCAAAACCCUGCAGAAAGACGGGGAACAUACGUGUGCUAUGAUCAUUAUAGUAAAGAGCUGCUUGGUUUUUUUUAAGGAAUGUAUAUUUUUCUUCUUGACUGAUAACACAAGAGGAAAGGUUUUUUUCUUUACAUGACAUUUGUUGCACUUUGUAUAUAACGAGAAGGUGGCUUGUUCCCUUUUCCACCAAUCCAAAUGCAAUGUUUUUUGGUAAUUUAAAAUAUAAUAUAGAAUUACCAAUUAUCAUUGAAGGUGUACCAAUUGAUAAUGUGAGUGAAAACAAAUUUUUGGGAGUUAUAAUUGAUAACAAAAUUUCAUGGAAACCCCACGUCAGACACAUAAAAACCAAAAUUUCCAGAAGCCUCGCAGUUUUGAACAAAGUGAAACAAUUCCUUGAUAAAGAUGCACUUCGUACUCUGUACUGUACCCUGGUUCUUCCAUAUCUUACAUAUUGUGUGGAAGUGUGGGGAAACACAUAUAAAAAUACAACUAAUCCAUUAGUCACAGUACAGAAACGAGCACUGCGUAUUAUUCACAGGCUGGUUAUCUAGAUCAUACUCACAAAUUCUUUCUUCAGGCAAAGUUACUUAAAUUCCAGGAUCUGGUUAAUUACAAUAUAUCCAUAAUUUUGUAUAAAGCUUUUACUAAACUUUUACCGGCAAAUUUACAAACUAGAUUUGAAAUUCGAGAAAAGGUUUAUAAUGUGAGAGGCUUUGGAGAAUUCAAAUUACCCAGAACUCGAACAACCCGUAAAGGUUUUUGUGUGUCUGUAUGUGGUGUGAAAAUCUGGAACAGUCUGAGUUUACAAUUGAAACAAUGCAAAAAUAUUCAUAGAUUUAAAUUUCUCUACAAACAGUUGGUCUGGUCACAGUAUACUCAGUGAUGCUUUUAGUGUGCUCUGUAAUGUCUGUCCUCUUACCAUUGCUGGUAUGGAUUCCAAAAUAAAAAAUAAAAAAUAAAGUGUGCGUAUGUAUGUACAUAUAUGUACUUGUGUGUGUAGAUAUAUAUGUAUGUAUAUGUAUGUGUGUCUGUUACUUGUAGUUAUUACUGCCUGUUACCUGUGGUAAUGCAAUUUAUAAUUUAUAUAUUCUGUAUUCAGUUAUGAAGGCUCUAAUUGUUGGUUGCGAGCUGCCGCUUAGAUGCUUGUAUCUGCCCGGGGCUGUUGAUGGGUCUGUUUGCAAUGAUGGGCGUAGCUGCGGGAAGUUUAUUGUUUUUUUUUUGUUGAUGAGUGAGUAUAGGGGUGGGAUUUAAUAAGUUUUCUUCAUCCCACUCCUUUUUCAGGCAAGUUUUGUUUUUUGUUUUGUGUAUUUUAUGUUCAAUAUAGGUAUUUGUUGUGCCUGAAAAUGAAUAAAUAAAUGAAAUGAAAAAAAUGAAAUGAAAGAUAUAUUCUUUCUCAGUUCUGGGUCCUUGUAUAGUGAAUAUGUGAGUUUUAUUCUUACAAUCACAAACUCGUUCUGUACAGAUUCAGCACAGGUUUAAAAAAACAUCAUCUAGCGCUUGGAGAAAAUAAUGACGUUUUCAGUGAGCAGAGCAGUCCAGCACAUCUGUGUUUGAACCAGUUAUUCAGUUUCGGGUUUCAAACAUUCAAAAUCUUUUCCUCUUUAAACGUUACAGAAAAAGUAAUGGUGCCUCUUGGCUUCACUCCAGGAUCAUGCAGCUGUGCCAUUCAUGUGGGUUGAUGCUUGAAACCUACCGUAACAGUGUAGUUGUUUUAUGUAAAAAUAAAGACUUGAUUCUGAUGAA
Astatotilapia calliptera (eastern happy) is the source of this 3146-nucleotide long non-coding RNA. The record is from Ensembl. Lineage: Eukaryota; Metazoa; Chordata; Actinopteri; Cichliformes; Cichlidae.